RNAcentral lists this transfer RNA (74 nucleotides) under Wolfiporia cocos. Its description in RNAcentral is "tRNA-Asn". It matches the Rfam family "tRNA". From Rfam's summary of the family: Transfer RNA (tRNA) molecules are approximately 80 nucleotides in length. Their secondary structure includes four short double-helical elements and three loops (D, anti-codon, and T loops). Lineage: Eukaryota; Fungi; Basidiomycota; Agaricomycetes; Polyporales; Phaeolaceae. The record is from RNAcentral.
GGUGUCAUGGCAGAGUGGUAAUGCGGGGAACUGUUAAUUCCUUUAAAGCAGAGGUUCGAGUCCUCUUGGUGCCU